UACGAAGGGGGCGAGCGUUGUUCGGAUUUACUGGGCGUAAAGGGCGCGUAGGCGGCCAUGCGUGUCUUCCGUGAAAUCCCUCGGCUCAACCGAGGACGUGCGGAAGAAAACUGCAAGGCUCGAGUCCGGAAGAGGGGGGCGGAAUUCCCCAGUGUAGCGGUGAAAAUGCGUAGAUAUUGGGAGGAACACCAGUGGCGAAGGCGGUCCCCUGGGCCGGAACUGACGCUGAGGCGCGGAAAGCGUGGGUAGCAAACGGGG
This 258-nucleotide ribosomal RNA is filed under the name uncultured bacterium. RNAcentral describes it as "partial 16S ribosomal RNA". It matches the Rfam family "Bacterial small subunit ribosomal RNA", at positions 524 to 777 of the family's 1533-position model. The record is from RNAcentral.